ACGGGGAGGAGCCCAGAGCCUGAAUCAGUGUGUGUGUUAGUGGAAGCGUCUGGAAAGGCGCGCGAUACAGGGUGACAGCCCCGUACACAAAAAUGCACAUGCUGUGAGCUCGAUGAGUAGGGCGGGACACGUGGUAUCCUGUCUGAAUAUGGGGGGACCAUCCUCCAAGGCUAAAUACUCCUGACUGACCGAUAGUGAACCAGUACCGUGAGGGAAAGGCGAAAAGAACCCCGGCGAGGGGAGUGAAAAAGAACCUGAAACCGUGUACGUACAAGCAGUGGGAGCACAGAGCAAUCUGUGUGACUGCGUACCUUUUGUAUAAUGGGUCAGCGACUUAUAUUCUGUAGCAAGGUUAACCGAAUAGGGGAGCCGAAGGGAAACCGAGUCUUAACUGGGCGUUAAGUUGCAGGGUAUAGACCCGAAACCCGGUGAUCUAGCCAUGGGCAGGUUGAAGGUUGGGUAACACUAACUGGAGGACCGAACCGACUAAUGUUGAAAAAUUAGCGGAUGACUUGUGGCUGGGGGUGAAAGGCCAAUCAAACCGGGAGAUAGCUGGUUCUCCCCGAAAGCUAUUUAGGUAGCGCCUCGUGAAUUCAUCUCCGGGGGUAGAGCACUGUUUCGGCAAGGGGGUCAUCCCGACUUACCAACCCGAUGCAAACUGCGAAUACCGGAGAAUGUUAUCACGGGAGACACACGGCGGGUGCUAACGUCCGUCGUGAAGAGGGAAACAACCCAGACCGCCAGCUAAGGUCCCAAAGUCAUGGUUAAGUGGGAAACGAUGUGGGAAGGCCCAGACAGCCAGGAUGUUGGCUUAGAAGCAGCCAUCAUUUAAAGAAAGCGUAAUAGCUCACUGGUCGAGUCGGCCUGCGCGGAAGAUGUAACGGGGCUAAACCAUGCACCGAAGCUGCGGCAGCGACACUAUGUGUUGUUGGGUAGGGGAGCGUUCUGUAAGCCUGUGAAGGUGUGCUGUGAGGCAUGCUGGAGGUAUCAGAAGUGCGAAUGCUGACAUAAGUAACGAUAAAGCGGGUGAAAAGCCCGCUCGCCGGAAGACCAAGGGUUCCUGUCCAACGUUAAUCGGGGCAGGGUGAGUCGACCCCUAAGGCGAGGCCGAAAGGCGUAGUCGAUGGGAAACAGGUUAAUAUUCCUGUACUUGGUGUUACUGCGAAGGGGGGACGGAGAAGGCUAUGUUGGCCGGGCGACGGUUGUCCCGGUUUAAGCGUGUAGGCUGGUUUUCCAGGCAAAUCCGGAAAAUCAAGGCUGAGGCGUGAUGACGAGGCACUACGGUGCUGAAGCAACAAAUGCCCUGCUUCCAGGAAAAGCCUCUAAGCAUCAGGUAACAUCAAAUCGUACCCCAAACCGACACAGGUGGUCAGGUAGAGAAUACCAAGGCGCUUGAGAGAACUCGGGUGAAGGAACUAGGCAAAAUGGUGCCGUAACUUCGGGAGAAGGCACGCUGAUAUGUAGGUGAAGCGACUUGCUCGUGGAGCUGAAAUCAGUCGAAGAUACCAGCUGGCUGCAACUGUUUAUUAAAAACACAGCACUGUGCAAACACGAAAGUGGACGUAUACGGUGUGACGCCUGCCCGGUGCCGGAAGGUUAAUUGAUGGGGUCAGCGCAAGCGAAGCUCUUGAUCGAAGCCCCGGUAAACGGCGGCCGUAACUAUAACGGUCCUAAGGUAGCGAAAUUCCUUGUCGGGUAAGUUCCGACCUGCACGAAUGGCGUAAUGAUGGCCAGGCUGUCUCCACCCGAGACUCAGUGAAAUUGAACUCGCUGUGAAGAUGCAGUGUACCCGCGGCAAGACGGAAAGACCCCGUGAACCUUUACUAUAGCUUGACACUGAACAUUGAGCCUUGAUGUGUAGGAUAGGUGGGAGGCUUUGAAGUGUGGACGCCAGUCUGCAUGGAGCCGACCUUGAAAUACCACCCUUUAAUGUUUGAUGUUCUAACGUUGACCCGUAAUCCGGGUUGCGGACAGUGUCUGGUGGGUAGUUUGACUGGGGCGGUCUCCUCCUAAAGAGUAACGGAGGAGCACGAAGGUUGGCUAAUCCUGGUCGGACAUCAGGAGGUUAGUGCAAUGGCAUAAGCCAGCUUGACUGCGAGCGUGACGGCGCGAGCAGGUGCGAAAGCAGGUCAUAGUGAUCCGGUGGUUCUGAAUGGAAGGGCCAUCGCUCAACGGAUAAAAGGUACUCCGGGGAUAACAGGCUGAUACCGCCCAAGAGUUCAUAUCGACGGCGGUGUUUGGCACCUCGAUGUCGGCUCAUCACAUCCUGGGGCUGAAGUAGGUCCCAAGGGUAUGGCUGUUCGCCAUUUAAAGUGGUACGCGAGCUGGGUUUAGAACGUCGUGAGACAG
Molecule: ribosomal RNA, 2349 nt
Filed under: Escherichia coli
Lineage: Bacteria; Pseudomonadati; Pseudomonadota; Gammaproteobacteria; Enterobacterales; Enterobacteriaceae
Description: partial 23S ribosomal RNA
Rfam family: Bacterial large subunit ribosomal RNA
Source: RNAcentral